CAGCAGCCGCGGGAAUACGGAGGGAGCUAGCGUUGUUCGGAAUUACUGGGCGUAAAGCGCGCGUAGGCGGUUACUCAAGUCAGAGGUGAAAGCCCGGGGCUCAACCCCGGAACUGCCUUUGAAACUAGGUGACUAGAAUCUUGGAGAGGUCAGUGGAAUUCCGAGUGUAGAGGUGAAAUUCGUAGAUAUUCGGAAGAACACCAGUGGCGAAGGCGACUGACUGGACAAGUAUUGACGCUGAGGUGCGAAAGCGUGGGGAGCAAACAGGAUUAGAUACCCGCGUAGUCCCUGUCUCUUAUAU
RNAcentral lists this ribosomal RNA (301 nucleotides) under uncultured bacterium. RNAcentral describes it as "partial 16S ribosomal RNA". It matches the Rfam family "Bacterial small subunit ribosomal RNA", at positions 509 to 809 of the family's 1533-position model. The record is from RNAcentral.